RNAcentral lists this ribosomal RNA (470 nucleotides) under uncultured bacterium. RNAcentral's name for it is "bacterial SSU rRNA". It matches the Rfam family "Bacterial small subunit ribosomal RNA", at positions 28 to 507 of the family's 1533-position model. The record is from RNAcentral.
GACGAACGCUGGCGGCACGCUUAACACAUGCAAGUCGAACGGAAGAAUUAAGAGCUUGCUCUUAAUGAUUUAGUGGCGGACGGGUGAGUAACACGUGAGCAACCUACCCUUAUAAGGGGGAUAGCUUCUGGAAACGGAUGGUAAUACCGCAUAAUAUACAUUUAAGGCAUCUUGAAUGUAGGAAAGGUUUUAAUCGAAUAAGGAUGGGCUCGCGUCUGAUUAGCUAGUUGGUAAGGUAACGGCUUACCAAGGCGACGAUCAGUAGCCGGACUGAGAGGUUGGACGGCCACAUUGGGACUGAGAUACGGCCCAGACUCCUGCGGGAGGCAGCAGUGGGGAAUAUUGCACAAUGGGGGAAACCCUGAUGCAGCGAUGCCGCGUGGAGGAAGAAGGUUUUCGGAUUGUAAACUCCUUUUGUCAGGGAAGAGCAGAAGACGGUACCUGACGAAUAAGCCACGGCUAACUACGUG